AGGGCCCAGCCUACACUGCAGUCGACGCUUCUUUCCUCCCGAGUGCUUGCACUCAAUUGAAAAGAGGAGUGGCGGACGGGUGAGUAACACGUGGGUAACCUACCCAUCAGAGGGGGAUAACACUUGGAAACUAGUGCUAAUACCGCAUAACAGUUUAUGCCGCAUGGCAUAAAAGUGAAAGGCGCUUUCGGGUGUCGCUGAUGGAUGGACCCGCGGUGCAUUAGCUAUUUGGUGAGGUAACGGCUCACCAAGGCCACGAUGCAUACCCGACCUGAGAGGGUGAUCGGCCACACUGGGACUGAGACACGGCCCAUAAUCCUACGGGAGGCAGCAGUAGGGAAUCUUCGGCAAUGGACGAAAGUCUGACCGAGCAACGCCGCGUGAGUGAAGAAGGUUUUCGGAUCGUAAAACCUCUGUUGAUUAAAGAAGAACAAGGACGUUAGUAACUGAAUGUCUCCCUGACGGUAUCUAACCAGAAAGCCACGGCUAACUACGUGCCAGCAGCCGCGGUAAUACGUAGGUGGCAAGCGUUGUCUCGGAUUUAUUGGGCAAAAAGCGAGCGCAGGCGGUUUCUUAAGUCUGAUGUGAAAGCCCCCGGCUCAACACGGGGAGGGUCAUUGGAAACUGGGAGACUUGAGUGCAGAAGAGGAGAGUGGAAUUCCAUGUGUAGCGGGUGAAAUGCGUAAAUAUAUGGAGGAAACCCAGUGGGGGAGAGGCGGCCCCUCUGGCUUGUAACUGGACCCUGAAGGCCCAAAAGCGGGGGGAAACAACAGGUUUGGAUCCCCGGGGAUCCCCCCCCGAAAAGAAAGAAUGCUAAUGUGUUGGAGGGGUUUCCCCCCUUCAGUGGGGACAGCAAACAUUUUAAGCACCCCCCCCGGGGGAGUACAACCGCCCAGUUUAAAACUCUAAGAGAUUUGAGGGGGGCCCGCACAAAAAGGGGAGAGGGGUGUGUUUUUUUCGACACACACGAGAAGAAUCUUCGCGGCUCUCGACAUCUUCUCACACCCAGAGAAAAAUAUCUCUCCUCCUCGUGAGCAAAAUGACAGGUGGUGCAUGGUUGUCGUCAGCUCGUGUCGUGAGAUGUUGGGGUAAGUCCCGCAACGAGCAGCAACCCUUAUUGUUAGUCUGCCAUCAUUUAGUGUGGGCACAUCUCAGCGAGACUGCCGGUGGCAAACCGGAGGAAGGUGGGGAUGAUAUCAAAUCAUCCUGCCCCUUAUGACCUGGGCUACCCACCUUUUACAAUGGGAAGUACAACGGGUCGCUAGAACGAGAGGUCUUGUAUAUUUUUUAAAGGUUUUUUCAGUUUGGAAUGCAGGCUGCAACUCGCCUGCCUGAAGCCGGAAUCGCUUGUAAUCCCGGGUCAACCCGCCGCGGGGAAUGAGUUUCCGGGCCUUGUACACCCCAGCCGUCCCCCCACGUGAGUUUCGACAACAUUAGUUGGUGAGGUUACCUUUUGGAGCCAGCCACCUAAGGAGGCAUAGAUCCCGUACGACGUCUUUACGAUUACC
Molecule: ribosomal RNA, 1508 nt
Filed under: Enterococcus faecalis
Lineage: Bacteria; Bacillati; Bacillota; Bacilli; Lactobacillales; Enterococcaceae
Description: bacterial SSU rRNA
Rfam family: Bacterial small subunit ribosomal RNA
Source: RNAcentral